This 293-nucleotide ribosomal RNA is filed under the name uncultured bacterium. Its description in RNAcentral is "partial 16S ribosomal RNA". It matches the Rfam family "Bacterial small subunit ribosomal RNA", at positions 28 to 316 of the family's 1533-position model. The record is from RNAcentral.
GAUGAACGCUAGCGGCAGGCUCAAUACAUGCAAGUCGUGGGGCAGCGCAGUGUAGCAAUACAUGGGCGGCGACCGGCAAACGGGUGCGGAACACGUACACAACCUUCCUUCAAAUGGGGAAUAGCCCAGGGAAACUUGGAUUAAUACCCCGUAACAUUAUGAGGUGGCAUCACUUAUAAUUAUAGCUCCGGCGUUGGUAGGUGGGUGGUGCGGCUGAUUAGGUAGUUGGCGGGGAACGGGCCCACCAAGCCUUCGAUCAGUAACUGGUGUGAGAGCACGACCAGUCACACGGG